GUCUACAGUCAUGCCACCCUGAAGAAGCCCGAUCCCAUUUGAUCUCGGAAGCUAAGCCAGGAUCGGGCCUAGUUAGUACUUGGAUGGGAGUCCACUUAGGAAGACCAGGUGCUAUAGGCA
RNAcentral lists this ribosomal RNA (120 nucleotides) under Pteropus alecto (black flying fox). The record is from RNAcentral. Lineage: Eukaryota; Metazoa; Chordata; Mammalia; Chiroptera; Pteropodidae.